GAUGAACGCUGGCGGCGUGCCUAAUACAUGCAAGUCGAGCGAACGGACGAGAAGCUUGCUUCUCUGAUGUUAGCGGCGGGCGGGUGAGUAACACGUGGAUAACCUACCUAUAAGACUGGGGUAACUUCGGGAAACCGGAGCUAAUACCGGAUGAUAUUUUGAACCGCAUGGUUCAAAAGUGAAAGACGGUCUUGCUGUCACUUAUAGAUGGAUCCGCGCUGCAUUAGCUAGUUGGUAAGGUAACGGCUUACCAAGGCAACGAUGCAUAGCCGACCUGAGAGGGUGAUCGGCCACACUGGAACUGAGACACGGUCCAGACUCCUACGGGAGGCAGCAGUAGGGAAUCUUCCGCAAUGGGCGAAAGCCUGACGGAGCAACGCCGCGUGAGUGAUGAAGGUCUUCGGAUCGUAAAACUCUGUUAUUAGGGAAGAACAUAUGUGUAAGUAACUGUGCACAUCUUGACGGUACCUAAUCAGAAAGCCACGGCUAACUACGUG
RNAcentral lists this ribosomal RNA (497 nucleotides) under uncultured bacterium. RNAcentral describes it as "partial 16S ribosomal RNA". It matches the Rfam family "Bacterial small subunit ribosomal RNA", at positions 28 to 507 of the family's 1533-position model. The record is from RNAcentral.